Mustela erminea (ermine) is the source of this 121-nucleotide long non-coding RNA. RefSeq lists it as uncharacterized. NCBI's taxonomy places the organism in Eukaryota, Metazoa, Chordata, Mammalia, Carnivora, Mustelidae. The record is from RefSeq and is a predicted model, not a curated record. The transcript has 3 exons.
AGAUAAGGGCAAAACAACAAAUAGAACUAGAGUCCAAUAUCUCUGGUGAACACAGAUCCAAAAAUCCUUAACAAAAUAUUAGCAAACCAGUUCCAACAAUAUAUUAAAAAAUAAUUCACCA